ACUCUAUUCUCUAUAGUAAUAGUAUCGAAUCAAGAAUUUCCUAUUUCUAGAUGGCGAUUAGAAUGAAUUACUU
This 73-nucleotide transfer RNA is filed under the name Pleroma pereirae. Its description in RNAcentral is "Tibouchina pereirae tRNA-Glu". The record is from RNAcentral. Lineage: Eukaryota; Viridiplantae; Streptophyta; Magnoliopsida; Myrtales; Melastomataceae.